This 327-nucleotide ribosomal RNA is filed under the name Salmonella enterica subsp. enterica serovar Thompson. RNAcentral's name for it is "partial 16S ribosomal RNA". It matches the Rfam family "Bacterial small subunit ribosomal RNA", at positions 1153 to 1479 of the family's 1533-position model. RNAcentral also lists the same sequence under 2 other names. Lineage: Bacteria; Pseudomonadati; Pseudomonadota; Gammaproteobacteria; Enterobacterales; Enterobacteriaceae. The record is from RNAcentral.
CAGUGAUAAACUGGAGGAAGGUGGGGAUGACGUCAAGUCAUCAUGGCCCUUACGACCAGGGCUACACACGUGCUACAAUGGCGCAUACAAAGAGAAGCGACCUCGCGAGAGCAAGCGGACCUCAUAAAGUGCGUCGUAGUCCGGAUUGGAGUCUGCAACUCGACUCCAUGAAGUCGGAAUCGCUAGUAAUCGUGGAUCAGAAUGCCACGGUGAAUACGUUCCCGGGCCUUGUACACACCGCCCGUCACACCAUGGGAGUGGGUUGCAAAAGAAGUAGGUAGCUUAACCUUCGGGAGGGCGCUUACCACUUUGUGAUUCAUGACUGGG